Molecule: ribosomal RNA, 378 nt
Filed under: uncultured bacterium
Lineage: Bacteria
Description: bacterial SSU rRNA
Rfam family: Bacterial small subunit ribosomal RNA
Source: RNAcentral
UAAGACGGAGGAGGCAAGCGUUGUCCGGAAUCAUUGGGCGUAAAGAGCGCGUAGGCGGUUUUUCAAGUCGUAUGUGAAAACUUCAGGCUUAACCUGAUGAUUGCAUAUGAAACUGGAUAACUUGAGUACAGCAGAGGAAAGUGGAAUUCCUGGUGUAGCGGUGAAAUGUGCAGAUAUCAGGAAGAACACCGGUAGCGAAGGCGGCUUUCUGGGCUGUUACUGACGCUGAGGCGCGAAAGCUAGGGGAGCAAACAGGAUUAGAUACCCUGGUAGUCCUAGCCGUAAACGAUGGACACUAGGUGUGGGAAGUUAUCGACGCUUUCUGUGCCGAAGCUAACGCAUUAAGUGUCCCGCCUGGGGAGUACGGCCGCAAGGCUA